GUGACACCUAAACCAAUGCACAUAGCCCCCAAAAAUCUAGCUCCACUAUCACGAGCAACACCACCAGCCCCAGCAACUCCCGGAUUUCCUCUUGCCGUAUCAUCACAACAAAUAAGAAGUUCAUUACUCUCCGGAUAUGCUAAGUUGCACUUACACUUGGUGGUGCAUGUCUAUAAACAACUUCAGAGCUUCCCUGCAGCUUUUGUGGAAGCAGCAUAUCUCCAAUUUGAUGCAGGGAGUGUUGCAUCAUCCCUCUCUUAAACUGCAAAUCGGGUUUAAGGGUGAUAGAUUUCAAGCCUAUGAUGGAAGUGCAAGGCUGCAAAUUAUGCCAUUUGAACUCUUUGCAUCUUUGUUAUCUGGGUAUGCACUUCCAACGUGUUUGUGGUGCUUGAGAGGGUGACGGGAUUUUAAAAGUGGCAUCAACAACAACAAGAAUAAGCUUUCCUUCCUAUUUGGUAUCAAGAACUAAUAACCAACUGGCACUAGUUUUUGAGUUAUAGGUGAAAUUUUGAUUAAUUAUAAAUUGAUGACAAACACACUUUAUUAGAGGUUUACUAUAAGGAGAUCAGUGUGAAAAUAAAUUAUUAUCAAAUUAUUGCGCUUUGCAUAGUGCUAGGCAACUUCUUUUGUUAUUUACAUCCUUAGGUUAAAGCGGCAGGUACAAAAGAAGCGCAAGGAAAUGGUCAGUUCAAUCCCUAAUUGUCGUGUGGUCGCGUAUCGAGAUUAGCAAAUGGUUUCACCAGGAAGGCAUAUUCUCAGCAAUCGACGUGCAAUGCACGUGUAUUCUACUUGUACCUAUAGGGAGGCGAACUUAUCUGCAGAUGGCAUGGUGAAAAGUGGUUGUUUUCUUAGCAAUGAAGAAGGUUUACAUUAUGA
Molecule: long non-coding RNA, 876 nt
Organism: Papaver somniferum (opium poppy)
Lineage: Eukaryota; Viridiplantae; Streptophyta; Magnoliopsida; Ranunculales; Papaveraceae
Exons: 3
Source: RefSeq, a predicted model, not a curated record